RNAcentral lists this ribosomal RNA (253 nucleotides) under uncultured bacterium. RNAcentral describes it as "partial 16S ribosomal RNA". It matches the Rfam family "Bacterial small subunit ribosomal RNA", at positions 524 to 776 of the family's 1533-position model. The record is from RNAcentral.
UACAGAGGUCUCAAGCGUUGUUCGGAUUCAUUGGGCGUAAAGGGUGCGUAGGUGGCGUGGUAAGUCGGGUGUGAAAUUUCGGAGCUUAACUCCGAAACUGCAUUCGAUACUGCUGUGCUUGGGGACUGGAGAGGAGACUGGAAUUUACGGUGUAGCAGUGAAAUGCGUAGAGAUCGUAAGGAAGACCAGUGGCGAAGGCGGGUCUCUGGACAGUUCCUGACACUGAGGCACGAAGGCCAGGGGAGCAAACGGG